This is an RNA transcript of Ostrinia furnacalis (Asian corn borer), 638 nucleotides long. It is a transcript of the gene named trypsin inhibitor-like, with no coding region annotated. NCBI's taxonomy places the organism in Eukaryota, Metazoa, Arthropoda, Insecta, Lepidoptera, Crambidae. The record is from RefSeq and is a predicted model, not a curated record. The transcript is spliced from 4 exons.
AUCAUUUGUGACACAUUCAACAAUUCAGUUUACAUUAAAUUUUUUUUUCGUGUUAAAUUCUCUAAAGAAUCGGAAAAAAUAACACACUCUGUCUCCUAAACUACAAUAGUGUAACAUAUAAGCACAAAUAAGUAACAGAGCGCUACAAUAUCGUAAUAAAAUAUCAACAGAACGCGUUUCAUCUGUAUAAGUGACGGUCACAACACAGUUCGUUAAAAAUGAAUAGAUUGUAUUUUAUAAUUUUUGUUUUCGCGCUUAUAGCAUCGGUGAUGGCAUUAGAUUCCCGUUGUUUUGAGCCAAUAGUCACAGGACCAUGCCGGGCUUCGCAAACCAAAUACGCGUUCACCGGUAGAGGAUGCGACACCUUCGUCUAUGGGGGCUGCCAAGGGAGCGGCAACAACUUUGACACCAUAGAGGAGUGCGUGAAGGCGUGCGCAUGAUUCCCAGCUUCGAUUCCCGGCUCAAAAUUUGGUAGUUGACACCACCAAUCACAUGUAGCACCCACAUACAGUCAGCGCAAAUCGUUCGUGACACCCAAGUGGCCAAAAAGUUGACAACAUAAACUUAUUCCAAUGAGGGUUUUCGCGAAUGAAAAAUCCGCCAGAUGGCAAUACGUAGACUCGAGGUCCAAAUGCUGC